GGCACGGCACGGGCCAGCCAGGAGCGAGGCCGUCGGGGGUUGGCAAACAAACACUACUAGGACCUACCAGAUAAAAUACGUACUUUUCAGAUUAAAGGGCGCAGCUGUUAUAAAUAAGGGGUGAGAAUGCCACUGCAGUGUUAAAAAUUGUAGGGGCGCACCUAAGCGCACGGACAUCCUUCUGCCCGCCCAGCGGUACCGCCAGGGCGGCCCCUCAGCCCCGCCGCGGGCGCGGGCAGCGGCACGGCUCUCUCUGCUCUCUUACCUUGCAGCAUUUCCUGAUACCAUCAGAGACCACAGGUGGGGCAUUGAAAUAAAGCAAGAAAGAGUUUUCUCCUCAUGAGAUGUCCAGACAGACAUGACUAAAGAGAUGAGCAGCUACCCAUAUCCUAGUGGAGGCAACAUAUGACAUGGAAAGAAAAUCAAGAAUUCUCAAGCUUGGGCUGAAUUGAAAUAUCACAGUUAAGUCAUCUAACUUUUCAUGCUAAAGGUCUAAAAAUAAAACAGGUAUGGUUUGUUUUCAGAGACACAGCAAAACAAAAAUAUACAAAGUCCAGAAGUCAAGAGCCAGAAGCAAGAGAUUCCGUGACUGUGGUAAAUUGCCUGUGAUCAAAUGUCGUGGCUCAUGGCUGUGUUCCAAAUUUAUUGCAGAAGAACCUGGCUUAGGAGAGCCAGUGAUGGAGAAGGCACCUCAUACUGCAGCAUCUAUGUUGCCUGAACAAAAACUCUGAGAAGCAAGAGGCAGCUUUGCUGUGUACCUGGGCUGGAGCUGCUCCUCCCCUCAGCAGAGUGCAGGACAGGAGGAUGCUGCUGCAUGUGUGGGACAAGUGACAAUCUGCAGUGCUGAGAAGAGCACAAGCUGAAAACAAGGGUUCUGUGGUUUUGUCCUGUAUUGCAACCUUCCAGCCAAAGACCAUCUAAGUCAAAGCAGAAGGAACGGAAAGCCUCAUUUUUCUGAGGCAGCAGCUUCUUGCAGUCAUCAUCCUCCAACUGCUUUGAUGUUACAAGAGAUUACAUUGAGGUAUGAUUAGAAGGGAUGCUGGAAUUAUGCCCACCUCUCCUCCCAGGAUUUUUAAGAGAGAUCAGUGAAAAUCCAGCCUGCCCUGAAACCAGGAAAGAGGUGUAGAUCCUUACCUAUGAAAUUUCCAGGAGGAAGCUCUAGCAAGAAACAUCUAUAGAUGAUCCAAAGGAGAUGUCCCCUCCAUUGUGCUGCAUCUGAGCAGAAACUGAACAUCUCAACAGCUGUGGCUCCUACAGCAAGCACUGACUUUGCUGCAAGACUUUUUCUUGUACAAUUCAUCAUCAGUAUUUCUCAGAAUUAAGUUUUCUGAGAAAGACUAUGUCAAUUGGAAUCAUUAUAUAUUUUUUGAAUAUUUUUUAGAGGGGAAAAAAUAUAUUCCUUCACAUUCAAUAUACAUUUGGCUUAUUAUGACUGCCUCUUCUGCAAGAAUGGUAUCUGUAUCACAGAAAAUCUUAAAACACCAGUCAAGUGAUUGUAGUUGCACUAAAUUUCUGCAGGAACUCUGUCUCAUAAUUUUAUUCUGAAUUUUCAUAUGAAAAAAAGUGGUGAUAUUUGUUUUCCUUCAAACUGUUUUUUGACCAGUGCUGGGCAUCCAAAUAAGAGAAAAUUGCAAUAAGUACACUUAUAUUACAUAAGUACUGCUAAUUUCAGUCUUGUCUGCUUCUGUGUUGUUUUUAAAGCUAUAAGUGAAAGAAUGCUUUGAAUCAGGAAUUCAGCAAAUAUCCAUCUUGAAGCUGGGUGGUCCUGAACUAACCCCUUAAAACUUUCUGCACAGUUUCAUCAGGAAAGGUAGCAGGUGCCCAGGCAGAAAUCUCUGCUGGAUGUUGGUGUGAGUGUCUUCAAGAACAGUUGUGAAUUAAAUUCAGAAUAUGCUUCAGCCACCAUGCUAUAUUCACAAAAGAAAGGAUGAGCCUAACUUGUAUUUUAAGGAAAAAUUACAUGAGCAACUAACUCCAGGAGGGAAUUUAGUGCUGCAGUUCCUGUGUAAGAGGAUGCAUCCCUGUAGACUGGAGGAAACAGUCUGAGGAAUGGGAUUUGAGAUUUCCCCUCACUUCAGAUUAGAUAUUGGCUGAGAUUCCUUUUUAGCAAUAGAGCUUUAUAAAUCUUUCUCUUCAAACCCACUGUGAAGUUCCAUAGUAAUAAAAGAUGGGUUCUGUAUUCUAGGGGUAAAGUUCUUUAAAAACUAAAUUUUAUGGUGUCAAACUUUAUUGAGUAUAGCCUCUAAUUACUUUUCUUUUUUAUUACCAAAUUAAAAAAACAAGUACAAAUUAUCAAGAUAUUUUCAGCACAGAAAUAAAGCUGUAUGUAUUAUUAUUUAAAUCAGCUAGAGCAGACUAAGACAUACUUACUUUCUAAGGCCAGUCUUGGUUUCUUUAAAUAAAAGGAAGACACAAGAUGAGCAAAAUAUUUGUAACAAAAAUGUUUAAAUAACAGUUUUGUAAAAGUUAUUUAAUCCCACAGGUGUACAUUUUUUAAUUAAAAACUUCUAAAAUAAGAUAGAAGUCCAACAAUUUAAAAGAUUUGACAGUGAAAAUUCUGUGGCUGCUCCACCCUGUCCUAAAUGUUAAAAUGAACAGUAGCAGGAAGGCAUGUGUGUUCUUAGAACAAUUUCUUCUUGUUUACAAUUGCAGUAGGCUAAAAUGAGUCAUCGUUCUGUACAAAUAGAGAACUGUGUGCUCACAAAAAAUGUUUUGGUAUUAUCAGAAAAGUUUCAGUAAAUUAGAAUGUCAGAAUGAUAUAUGCAAUUUCUUUGAAUAUAAAUUUGUAAAUCAUGGUGCCAACAAGAAUGAAAAGAUAUACAAUUUCUUGGGAUUCUUUUUCAUACUGAUAACCUAGAGAACAAUAUCUAUUUUUAUUUGCAACUGAUCAAAGGGCAGGAAUUAUAAAACUUAAAUUAGGAUCAUUGCAAUAUUUGUCCCUCGGGAAUUUCUAUAAUAGAACACAUUCUAGGGUUAUAAAAUUAUAUGCAGCAUUUUAGAAAAUGUUAAAAAUGCUUAUCACUAUUAAUUUUCCCUUAUAUACAUAAUAAAUAUGGAGUUUUUAUGAAAGGUUCCUAUAUUAAAACAUAAGCUGUAAAGAUAUAAUUUUUAAAAUUACCUGUACUAACCAUAAGCUGACAGUUUUAGUCAUAAUUCAAAGGCAGUAGAAUAAGACAAGCACUUUGUGCUUGAAAAUAACUCAGAAAUUAAUUUUUAAGUGUAAUUCUGCUCAAGUUACAUUUUGACAUAAUGUCUAUAUAAAUACUUUUAUAGAUUUAUAUAUAAGAUUUAUGUAUAAAUCUUUUCUCAGUUUAAAAAAAAUUGCUUUUCUCUUGCCUUUAAAAAACUACCAUAUAUUUCAGUAAGUUAUCAAAUCAGUUGGAGAAUAAUGCAAACAAUACAUAAACACAAACUUUUAUAAAGAUCCAUGAAGGAUUUAAUCUAUUCUUCAGCCUCAGUGUUGAAACAUAAGCUGACUUCAGUUGAAAAAAAUGAGGUCAAGGGGUUUUAGACAAAGAAUGAACCAUGCUACUUGUCUAAAAAUUCAGUGAAGUAGACAAAGAGGCUAAAAUCUUUGUUUCAGGAAUGAAAAAUCAAACAGAAAGGAGACAUAUUCCUUCCUGUAAGUAUUCUCCAUGAACAAACUACUAGAAAAGUAAAUCCCAUGUACUUUAGCAAAUAUUCCAGGAAAGAGUAUUUGAGUUUUGUGGUAGAGGAGAACACCAGCAUAGAAGAGGGCUUUUGACUUUCUUUGAAGGUCAAAAGGGACAGAGAAACAAGGACUUUUAAAGAACAAUAUCCUUUCACAUCAAAAUCAAAUAUCAAAACACACUGGAAAGUACAGAGACAAAAGCAUUCACAGCAAGUUUGCCAGUCAAUUCUCUAUUGACCCAAAACUUUCCAUAAAAAUGAAGGAUUUCCAGUCUUUCCUGUCUUUUCCUGUCUUCUGUCUCCUUCUCUAUUGUUCCUUUUGUGCUGACUUAUUCUAACUUGUAUUUGAAAUUAACAGCUCUUUCAAGGUGGUUUAUUGGGAUGGUUGGCCAAGUGAUUGCAUUGUAUCCACACCAUUCUCCUCAUAAAUUGAUGUUUCUUCAAAGUAGAAUGCAUAUCUAUGAUACAAUAAGGUCCACAUCUCAUUUUAAAAUUUUGUUUUAAAUUCUGUAUAUUUUCUCAUAUUUAGUCUGCAAAAUCCCAAGGAAUUUUUCUGUGUGGAACAGAAAUCAAAGCAGUGAUAAAGUCUUUUUUACGACAUUUGCUUCAGAAAGUCAUAAACACUUGUUAAACUUGGCUGGUUUUGCACAUUAACUCACAUGGGAUUUCAUUUGGAUUCCAUGUAGCCAAAACAGAUGUGUUUUAAUAGCAGUGAAAGUUGAUUAUAAUUUGUUUUCUUGAACAAGCAGCUUUCAUUGAUGUUUUGUAGUUCAAAUAAAAUCUAGUGACUUGCCUCAGAAAGUCUGAACACCUCUUUUGAGGCUAAAAUUGUAGAAAGCGCUCUGAAACAAUCUUUGAUGUGAUUUUUCAAGCAGUGACAGGUCAAAGUGACUGAAGGGGACUUUCUAUGGAGAAGUUAAUGAGUCUUUUCCCUUUCUGCUCUCAUUUACAGUCUGCCUGAAAUUCUAGGAAUCUUACCUGUCCAUCUACUGCUUUUUCUGUAAGACAGCCCCUAUUGCUACAAUCAGCAUGGGUUUUAUAAAUCCCUUUCAUAAUGAGAUGUGUUGUGAAGUAGCAGAAAUUUUUAUUGUGAACUUAAUGAACUUCACUGCCAAAUCCAUGGGGAAAAGACAGGAAACACAGGGAAAGAGCCAAAACUUCUGACCCCAUUCAAUUUCUUAAAAUUUCAUAUUCUACACAAGUUUUAUGGGAAUAUUAGUAUUUCUACUCAUUAAAUGAAUCUUAGUGAAAAUAUGAGGCUCUGAUAACUGUUCAUUCAUUCUUUCCACUAAAAUUUUCAUUUCCCUAAUUUGUACCUGCAUGUGGGUUCAGAUACAGUGAGAAAUGCUAGUGUAAGUAAAAAAUGGAGAUUAGAUUAAUAAAGAUGGAAUUUAAAAAAUAAAAAUAAAAUAAAAUAACAUUAUUAUAUUCA
Long non-coding RNA from Passer domesticus (house sparrow), 5083 nucleotides. RefSeq lists it as uncharacterized. Lineage: Eukaryota; Metazoa; Chordata; Aves; Passeriformes; Passeridae. The transcript has 8 exons. The record is from RefSeq and is a predicted model, not a curated record.